CGAACGCUGGCGGCGUGCUUAAUACAUGCAAGUCGAACGAGGGCCCAGAGCUUGCUCUGGUGACCCGAGUGGCGAACGGGUGAGUAACACGUGACCAACCUGUCUUCAGGCGGGGGACAACUUGGGGAAACCCGGGCUAAUACCGCAUGAUGCCUUUUCUUCGCAUGGAGAAAAGAUCAAAGGGGGCCUCUGCUUGCAAGCUCCCACCUGAUGAGGGGGUCGCGACGUAUCAGCUUGUUGGUGAGGUAACGGCUCACCAAGGCUACGACGCGUAGCGGGUCUGAGAGGACGAUCCGUCACAUUGGGACUGAGAUACGGCCCAGACUCCUACGGGAGGCAGCAGUAGGGAAUAUUGCGCAAUGGACGAAAGUCUGACGCAGCGACGCCGCGUGUGGGAGGAAGCCUUUCGGGGUGUAAACCACUGUCAGAGGGGAAGAAUCCCGAGUGUUUAAAUAGGACACUCGAAUGACGGUACCCUCAAAGGAAGCGCCGGCUAACUCC
Molecule: ribosomal RNA, 501 nt
Filed under: uncultured bacterium
Lineage: Bacteria
Description: bacterial SSU rRNA
Rfam family: Bacterial small subunit ribosomal RNA
Source: RNAcentral